GUAGGGAAUAUUGGGCAAUGGAGGCAACUCUGACCCAGCCAUGCCGCGUGCAGGAUGACGGCCCUCUGGGUUGUAAACUGCUUUUAUACGGGAAGAAAAAAUACUACGUGUAGUAUACUGACGGUACCGUAAGAAUAAGGAUCGGCUAACUCCGUGCCAGCAGCCGAGGUAAUACGGAGGAUCCAAGCGUUGUCCGGAUUUAUUGGGUUUAAAGGGUGCGUAGGCGGAUCUUUAAGUCAGUGGUGAAAGCCUGCAGCUUAACUGUAGAAUUGCCAUUGAAACUGAAGAUCUUGAAUGUGGUUAAAGUAGGCGGAAUGUAUCAUGUAGCGGUGAAAUGCUUAGAUAUGAUACAGAACACCGAUAGCGAAGGCAGCUUGCUGAACCAUUAUUGACGCUGAGGCACGAAAGCGUGGGGAGCGAACAGGAUUAGAUACCCCAGUAGUCC
This 445-nucleotide ribosomal RNA is filed under the name uncultured bacterium. RNAcentral describes it as "partial 16S ribosomal RNA". It matches the Rfam family "Bacterial small subunit ribosomal RNA", at positions 354 to 796 of the family's 1533-position model. The record is from RNAcentral.